RNAcentral lists this ribosomal RNA (255 nucleotides) under uncultured bacterium. Its description in RNAcentral is "partial 16S ribosomal RNA". It matches the Rfam family "Bacterial small subunit ribosomal RNA", at positions 524 to 776 of the family's 1533-position model. The record is from RNAcentral.
UACGUAGGUGGCAAGCGUUGUCCGGAAUUAUUGGGCGUAAAGCGCGCGCAGGCGGUCCUUUAAGUCUGAUGUGAAAGCCCGGGGGCUCAACCCCGGGAGGCGGGCGGAUACUGUCGGGCUAGAGUCCGGAAGAGGCGAGUGGAAUUCCUGGUGUAGCGGUGAAAUGCGCAGAUAUCAGGAGGAACACCAAUGGCGAAGGCAGCUCGCUGGGACGGUACUGACGCUGAGACGCGAAAGCGUGGGGGAGCAAACAGG